RNAcentral lists this ribosomal RNA (1680 nucleotides) under Triticum aestivum (bread wheat). RNAcentral describes it as "partial small subunit ribosomal RNA". Lineage: Eukaryota; Viridiplantae; Streptophyta; Magnoliopsida; Poales; Poaceae. The record is from RNAcentral.
AUGAGCUACGCGCUCAUCUACGACAUCCAGGCCAGCCUCGCCCUCCCCAUCCUCGACCCCGCCGACCCGCGCCGCUGCCUCGCCGUCCUCGAGCUCGUCUUCACCGCCGCCCCCGCCGCACGCUUCGCCGCCGAGGCCCACAAGCUCUGCAAGGCCCUCCAGGCCGUGUCAUUGAGAGGCUCCGAGAUCUGCCACCCCGUGCCACCGACCGAGAUAUGCAACUCAGAGGCGACUCAGGCGGCCAUGUCGGAGGUGUCGGGGCUGCUGGCCGCCGUCCGCGAAGCCCACGAGCUGCCGCUGGCGCAGGCCUGGGUGAGGUGCAAGCAGUGCACCCGUACGGACGUCGACGACGACGCCCAGCAUUUCUCCCUGACGACGGCCGGAGCCCCGUUCCACCUAGGCGCGCACUACGGCGGCUUCCGCGACGCCUGCGCCGAGCACCACCUGCGGCGCGGCCAGGGGCUCGUGGGCGAGGCGGCGUCGGUGCGCGGGCCACGUUUCUGCGCCGACGUCGCCAGGCGGUCCAAGGACGCCUACCCGCUCGCGCACUACGCCCGCAUGCACGGCCUGGCCGGGUGCCUCGCCGUGCCCCUGCGACUACCACCGUCCGCCAUGGACGUCGGCGACGACGGCCAGGUAGAGGAAGAAUGCGUGGUGCUGGAGUUCUUCCUCCCGCCGGACUGGAGGAGCGCCGGGGAGCAGAAGGCCAUGGUGGACGCCGUCGCAGCUACGAUCAGGAAAGAAUGCUCCGGCAAUCACCUGGAGGCGACGAGCGACCUGCAAGAUUUGUCCUUGGAGGCCGUUCUUGCCGAUGCUGACACUGCCCAUGAACUGAACAAUCGUGGGGACUAUGUUACCAAUGAUUCAGACGAGGAGGACGGCGAUCAAGCAGGAGGCGUCCAUGGCGCGGACCAAAGUGGAGCCGAGGAUCGUGUACCUCCACCGGAGACGAAGAAGACCGGAAGGAAGGCCGGAAGACCUGUCAGUCUUAAGGAGCUGCAAGGAUACUUCUCAGGGAGCCUGAAAGAUGCUGCGAGGAGCCUCGGCGUGUGCCCGACGACGAUGAAGCGCAUCUGCAGGCAGCACGGCAUAUCGAGAUGGCCAUUCCGGAAGAUCAGCAAGGUGAACCGUGCCCUCGGCAAGAUCAGGGCCAUCGAAUCGGUGGAUUGCUCAUCGAAGCCAACUGCUGCUUCUUCUUCCACCUCUCGCCGAGCUCCAGCCCCUCGUCUGCCAUGCUUGUCAAGUGCUCUAGGAGAAGACACCUCCUCCCAAGGCUCAAGCCAAGAUCCUCCACCUCUCACCAAAACCACAAUGCGCAAGUCUUUGCUGUGGCACAGCAAUGGCGCGGAGGGGGAGCUGGUGACCAUCAAGGCGAACUACAGAGGGGACAUCAUCAGGUUCAGGGUGCCGUGCUCUGCCGGCGUAGCGGCAGUAAAGGAGGAGGUGGCCAAGAGGCUGGGCCUAGAUGCUGGCACCUUCGACGUCAAGUACCUCGACGACGACCAUGAGUGGGUGCUCCUGUCCUGCGAUGCCGAUUUCCAGGAGUGCCUUGAUGUCGCUCCGGGACUGCCAGCGUCCUCAACAAUGGCUGGCGGAGCUGGAGCGGUGUCUCCAGUUGUCAGGCUAAUGGUGCAGGAGGUAGCUGAUAACCAUCGGAGCUCUUGUGGUAGCUCAGAUUAG